RNAcentral lists this ribosomal RNA (253 nucleotides) under uncultured bacterium. RNAcentral describes it as "partial 16S ribosomal RNA". It matches the Rfam family "Bacterial small subunit ribosomal RNA", at positions 524 to 776 of the family's 1533-position model. The record is from RNAcentral.
UACAGAGGGGGCAAGCGUUGUUCGGAAUUACUGGGUGUAAAGGGCGCGUAGGCGGCCCGCUAAGUCGAACGUGAAAUCCCCGAGCUCAACUCGGGAACUGCGUCCGAUACUGGCGGGCUUGAAUCCGGGAGAGGGAUGCGGAAUUCCAGGUGUAGCGGUGAAAUGCGUAGAUAUCUGGAGGAACACCGGUGGCGAAGGCGGCAUCCUGGACCGGCAUUGACGCUGAGGCGCGAAAGCUAGGGGAGCAAACGGG